RNAcentral lists this ribosomal RNA (405 nucleotides) under uncultured bacterium. RNAcentral describes it as "bacterial SSU rRNA". It matches the Rfam family "Bacterial small subunit ribosomal RNA", at positions 370 to 772 of the family's 1533-position model. The record is from RNAcentral.
AAUGGGCGAUAGCCUGAACCAGCCAUGCCGCGUGCAGGAAGAAGGCCUUAUGGGUUGUAAACUGCUUUUGUCAGGGAAUAAAGUUAGGUACGUGUACCUAAUUGCAGGUACCUGGUGAAUAAGCAUCGGCUAACUCCGUGCCAGCAGCCGCGGUAAUACGGAGGAUGCAAGCGUUAUCCGGAUUCAUUGGGUUUAAAGGGUGCGCAGGCUGAUAAGCAAGUCAGUGGUGAAAAGCAGCAGCUUAACUGUUGAGGUGCCAUUGAAACUGUUAAUCUAGAGUUUAAUUGGGGUAAGCGGAAUAUGUCAUGUAGCGGUGAAAUGCAUAGAUAUGACAUAGAACACCGAUCGCGAAGGCAGCUUACCAAGUUAAAACAGACGCUCAUGCACGAAAGCGUGGGGAUCAAA